UACAGAGGUCUCAAGCGUUGUUCGGAUUCAUUGGGCGUAAAGGGUGCGUAGGUGGCGUCGUAAGUCAGGUGUGAAAUCUCGGGGCUCAACCCCGAAACUGCACUUGAUACUGCGAUGCUCGAGUACUGGAGAGGAGAUUGGAAUUUACGGUGUAGCAGUGAAAUGCGUAGAUAUCGUAAGGAAGACCAGUGGCGAAGGCGAAUCUCUGGGACGGUACUGACGCUGAGACGCGAAAGCGUGGGGAGCGAACAGG
This 253-nucleotide ribosomal RNA is filed under the name uncultured bacterium. RNAcentral describes it as "partial 16S ribosomal RNA". It matches the Rfam family "Bacterial small subunit ribosomal RNA", at positions 524 to 776 of the family's 1533-position model. The record is from RNAcentral.